RNAcentral lists this ribosomal RNA (433 nucleotides) under uncultured bacterium. Its description in RNAcentral is "partial 16S ribosomal RNA". It matches the Rfam family "Bacterial small subunit ribosomal RNA", at positions 29 to 507 of the family's 1533-position model. The record is from RNAcentral.
AACGAACGCUGGCGGCAUGCCUAACACAUGCAAGUCGAACGAGACCUUCGGGUCUAGUGGCGCACGGGUGCGUAACGCGUGGGAACCUGCCCUUAGGUUCGGAAUAACUCCCCGAAAGGGGUGCUAAUACCGGAUAAUGUCUUCGGACCAAAGAUUUAUCGCCUUUGGAUGGGCCCGCGUUGGAUUAGCUAGUUGGUAGGGUAAAAGCCUACCAAGGCGACGAUCCAUAGCUGGUCUGAGAGGAUGAUCAGCCACACUGGGACUGAGACACGGCCCAGACUCCUACGGGAGGCAGCAGUGGGGAAUAUUGGACAAUGGACGAAAGCCUGAUCCAGCAAUGCCGCGUGAGUGAUGAAGGCCUUAGGGUUGUAAAGCUCUUUUACCCGGGAUGAUAAUGACAGUACCGGGAGAAUAAGCUCCGGCUAACUCCGUA